ACGCUGGCGGCAGGCCUAACACAUGCAAGUCGAGCGGUAGAGAGAAGCUUGCUUCUCUUGAGAGCGGCGGACGGGUGAGUAAUGCCCAGGAAUCUGCCUGGUAGUGGGGGAUAACGUUCGGAAACGGACGCUAAUACCGCAUACGUCCUACGGGAGAAAGCAGGGGACCUUCGGGCCUUGCGCUAUCAGAUGAGCCUAGGUCGGAUUAGCUAGUUGGUGAGGUAAUGGCUCACCAAGGCGACGAUCCGUAACUGGUCUGAGAGGAUGAUCAGUCACACUGGAACUGAGACACGGUCCAGACUCCUACGGGAGGCAGCAGUGGGGAAUAUUGGACAAUGGGCGAAAGCCUGAUCCAGCCAUGCCGCGUGUGUGAAGAAGGUCUUCGGAUUGUAAAGCACUUUAAGUUGGGAGGAAGGGCAGUUACCUAAUACGUGAUUGUUUUGACGUUACCGACAGAAUAAGCACCGGCUAACUCUGUGCCAGCAGCCGCGGUAAUACAGAGGGUGCAAGCGUUAAUCGGAAUUACUGGGCGUAAAGCGCGCGUAGGUGGUUUGUUAAGUUGGAUGUGAAAUCCCCGGGCUCAACCUGGGAACUGCAUUCAAAACUGACUGACUAGAGUAUGGUAGAGGGUGGUGGAAUUUCCUGUGUAGCGGUGAAAUGCGUAGAUAUAGGAAGGAACACCAGUGGCGAAGGCGACCACCUGGACUGAUACUGACACUGAGGUGCGAAAGCGUGGGGAGCAAAC
RNAcentral lists this ribosomal RNA (745 nucleotides) under uncultured bacterium. RNAcentral describes it as "bacterial SSU rRNA". It matches the Rfam family "Bacterial small subunit ribosomal RNA", at positions 33 to 773 of the family's 1533-position model. The record is from RNAcentral.